Oncorhynchus keta (chum salmon) is the source of this 644-nucleotide long non-coding RNA. RefSeq lists it as uncharacterized. The transcript is spliced from 3 exons. The record is from RefSeq and is a predicted model, not a curated record. Lineage: Eukaryota; Metazoa; Chordata; Actinopteri; Salmoniformes; Salmonidae.
UGAAUUAACAUUCAUUUAUGUGAAAAUGACAUGACUAAUUUAGAGCAUUGAAAUGAUUUCUUAAUAUGUGAUUAUCUCUGGUUCUUUUCUCCCAAUGCCGCUCAGCCGUUCGACCCAGGGUCCCGAUUAAAUAUGGAUGACAUAGACCUAUUGAAGACACGCGCAUGGAGAAAGGAGAAACAUGAAGAGCAUAUGCAACAACCAUGGUAGCAAUUGAAAGGGAACAGUUUGGAGAUCAUGGGAAAAGUAUUAGACCCAAGGAAACAACAUUGCCGUCAUCGUAAGGGUUGGAAUUUGCCAGGGACCUCGCUAUACGAUAUUAUCACAAGACUUUGGUGCCAGUGCAAUAUGGAUCCUAUAUGUAUUGCGAUUCAAUGUUCCAAACAUACUGCUCGUCAUAUGUCUGCUGCAGACAGACAAGAGAGAGCCAUGAGUCAUGGAGUCAUGGAAAUAAACGUGCUGGAAACAAAUGAAGAUGGAGAACAAGCUGUGAAGGAACAAUGCUGUUUUAAGCGCAAAAAUAAUUUUGUGAUAUUGUCAAAGCGAUGCUAAUAUAUCAUAAAAAAAAUAUGCAACUGUAUACAUUUUCUCCCCCGUACACUAAUUAUUAUGAUAAUCAAACAGACUGUGGAUUUAGUUCAUUA